UCAUUCUAGAAACACUUUCCAGUACCUCUACUUUGUUACGACUUAUUCCAAUUUUUAAAUGAAAGCGACGGGCAAUAUGUACAUAUUUUAAUUUUUAAUCAUUUUAUUAUAUUAAAUAAAAUUACAUUUAAAUCCACUUUCAUAUUUAUAUUACAAAAAAAAAAAUCCAUUUAAAUAAAUUUAUUGUAAUCCAUCAUAUUCUUAANUAUAUUCUACAUCUUGAUCUGAAUUAAUUUAUAUUUUUAAUUUUUAAAUAUUAUUUUUAUUUUAAAAUAUUUUUUUAACAACGAUAUAUAAAAUUUUAAAUUAAGUAAAUUUAAUCGUGGAUUAUCAAUUAUUAGACAGAUUCCUCUAAAUGAACUAAAAUACCGCCAAAUUAUUUAAGUUUCAAUAAAUUAUUAUUUACUAUUUUAGUAUUAUAAAAUUAAAUUUUA
Molecule: ribosomal RNA, 434 nt
Filed under: Arhopala achelous
Lineage: Eukaryota; Metazoa; Arthropoda; Insecta; Lepidoptera; Lycaenidae
Description: partial 12S small subunit ribosomal RNA
Source: RNAcentral